GCCCAAGUGGCGGAAUGGUAGACGCAGGGGAUUCAAAAUCCCCCGCCGCAAGGCGUGUGGGUUCGAAUCCCACCUUGGGCA
Molecule: transfer RNA, 81 nt
Filed under: Rhodobacteraceae bacterium PD-2
Lineage: Bacteria; Pseudomonadati; Pseudomonadota; Alphaproteobacteria; Rhodobacterales; Paracoccaceae
Rfam family: tRNA
About the family: Transfer RNA (tRNA) molecules are approximately 80 nucleotides in length.
Source: Rfam by way of RNAcentral